Molecule: ribosomal RNA, 418 nt
Filed under: Vibrio cholerae
Lineage: Bacteria; Pseudomonadati; Pseudomonadota; Gammaproteobacteria; Vibrionales; Vibrionaceae
Description: bacterial SSU rRNA
Rfam family: Bacterial small subunit ribosomal RNA
Source: RNAcentral
UUAAGUAGACCGCCUGGGGAGUACGGUCGCAAGAUUAAAACUCAAAUGAAUUGACGGGGGCCCGCACAAGCGGUGGAGCAUGUGGUUUAAUUCGAUGCAACGCGAAGAACCUUACCUACUCUUGACAUCCAGAGAAUCUAGCGGAGACGCUGGAGUGCCUUCGGGAGCUCUGAGACAGGUGCUGCAUGGCUGUCGUCAGCUCGUGUUGUGAAAUGUUGGGUUAAGUCCCGCAACGAGCGCAACCCUUAUCCUUGUUUGCCAGCACGUAAUGGUGGGAACUCCAGGGAGACUGCCGGUGAUAAACCGGAGGAAGGUGGGGACGACGUCAAGUCAUCAUGGCCCUUACGAGUAGGGCUACACACGUGCUACAAUGGCGUAUACAGAGGGCAGCGAUACCGCGAGGUGGAGCGAAUCUCAC